UCGUAACAAGGUUUCCGUAGGUGAACCUGCGGAAGGAUCAUUACCGAGUGCGGGCCCUCUGGGUCCAACCUCCCAUCCGUGUCUAUCUGUACCCUGUUGCUUCGGCGUGGCCACGGCCCGCCGAAGACUAACAUUUGAACACUGUCUGAAGUUUGCAGUCUGAGUUUUUAGUUAAACAAUAAUUAAAACUUUCAACAACGGAUCUCUUGGUUCCGGCAUCGAUGAAGAACGCAGCGAAAUGCGAUAAUUAAUGUGAAUUGCAGAAUUCAGUGAAUCAUCGAGUCUUUGAACGCACAUUGCGCCCCCUGGUAUUCCGGGGGGCAUGCCUGUCCGAGCGUCAUUGCUGCCCUCAAGCACGGCUUGUGUGUUGGGCUUCCGUCCCUGGUAACGGGGACGGGCCCAAAAGGCAGUGGCGGCACCAUGUCUGGUCCUCGAGCGUAUGGGGCUUUGUCACCCGCUCCCGUAGGUCCAGCUGGCAGCUAGCCUCGCAACCAAUCUUUUUAACCAGGUUGACCUCGGAUCAGGUAGGGAUACCCGCUGAACUUAAGCAUAUC
This 554-nucleotide ribosomal RNA is filed under the name Aspergillus niveoglaucus. RNAcentral describes it as "eukaryotic LSU rRNA". The stretch from base 187 to 340 matches the Rfam family "5.8S ribosomal RNA". Lineage: Eukaryota; Fungi; Ascomycota; Eurotiomycetes; Eurotiales; Aspergillaceae. The record is from RNAcentral.